UGGAUGGACAUUUGGGCACUGCCGCUUCAGAUUGUGUGAUUUAGAGUUCUGUUUAUUUUAAUAAUGGAAAUCGGCAAGUUGAAAUCGUUGCCAUUUCUAUCAGAGCCUCAUGAAUUGACUUUUAAUUUGCUAAAAAGUUUUGAUGAAUUUCUACUUUUAAUUUUUGCUGUUUUAUCAAGCUUCUAAAGAGUACCAUGGAAGUGCUCCCCUCAUCUGGACUUGUAGAGCCCUGUUCUGAUUGGGUUCAAAUAUUGGACUCACAAGCUUAUCAGCACUGUGGCCUUGAACAGGUCAUUUAACAUAAACAGGAUCUCAUCCAUGUUGCCAUCAUAUAUGUAGUUGUUGUGUUUCCUUAGGUUCCCUGUCUGGCAGAGUCUCAGCCCUUUCUCAUUUUGGAUGACCUUGAAAGUUUUGAGGAGUACUGGUCAGGUUGGAUCGAGGCAUACCCCACAGCCCGGGAAACGGCAGGUAUCGUAGCUACAACUCUCAUUGAACACGUCAUCCCGAGGUUUGGACUACCCCAAACUCUCCAGACAACGGACCCACUUUCAUCUCUAGUGUGACUCAGCAGGUAGCCGAAAGCCUCAACGUCACCUGGAAACUCCAUAUUCCAUACCACCCUCAGUCAUUGGGUAAGGUGGAAAAGGCGAACGGGUUGCUUAAGGCUCAGUUCACUAAACUGACCUUAGAGACCCGUCUCUCAUGGCCCGCACUUUGCCCCUGGCCCUUACCAGGCUUAGGGCAACCCCCUGCAGACCUUCAGCGUUGAGCCCAUUUGAGCUGCUGUAUGGCCGACCCUUCCUUAUAAACCACAACCUCCCAGCCGUUCCCCCACCUCUCCUGUCCUACCUGCCUUACCUCACCCCCCUGCAGGCCCUCCUGAGAGCCCAUGCUGAUGCUGUCAUCCCUGCCCCGAACGACCAUGACCAUAAGGAAGCCCCCCUCAAGGGCUAUUCCCAGGGGACCAGGUCCUCCUCAGAAAUCUGCAACCAGGCUCCUUGCAGACGCGAUGGACAGGGCCUCAUACUGUCAUCCUUACCACCCCAACCGCAGCAAAACUGUUGGGACACCAGGCGUGGGUACACAUCAACAACCUCAAACAGGCGCCCACAGGUAAUGGCUGGGCCUCCCAAGCGGUGGGCCCUACCAAACUACCUCCAAGAUCUGGGAACUCAAGGACCGGAUCUGAGCGAGGCGCCAAGACACCUCCACAUGGGGCCUGGAGGUGGCUUCUCCCCUUGGCAGGACCUCUAUACUUGGGUAAUGUGGCUUCUCCCCUUGGCGGGACCUCUAUGCUUAACCCUCCUGCUAAUCUCGGUUGCUCCCUGCCUUAUUCGGUACAUACAGGAACGCCUGCGGGAAGUGACCUGGGUGUCAGUCAGCCAGCUCCUCCUACAGCCCUAUUCUCGCCUGCCCACUUCCGACUACCCCUAUGACAACGCCUGACCAUCAGCAGGAAGUAGCCAGAAUGGAGUCGACGCCCCCGAUACCAUUAUAUAAAACAAAAGGUCGGAAUGUUGGGCUGGCCGAGAAAAGGGGCCAAGACACCCAAGAUGGCCGACUCUCCCACCAAGAUUACCGACUCUCCUGCCAAGAUUUAAACCGACCCCCAAGAUGGCUGACUCUCCCGUCAGAACUCCUGGGGCAGCCACGUCAACCCCAGUAAACCGAAACCUAAGCAGGAAACCGAAAUCCGUCCUACCGACUUUUCUCACCCCCAGCAGUACCCAAUAAAACCCUGCCACAACUCUCCAAGACAGACUUUCCCCCACCCCCAGCGGUGCCCAAUAAAAACCCUUGCUGCCCUGCCCUGGGCGCGACUUCCCCGACUCAACGCUCUUUCCCGAGUCGGGGAACCUUGCCCAAAGGUGCUUGCAAUAAAGCUCAU
This is an RNA transcript of Ailuropoda melanoleuca (giant panda), 1888 nucleotides long. RefSeq lists it as uncharacterized. NCBI's taxonomy places the organism in Eukaryota, Metazoa, Chordata, Mammalia, Carnivora, Ursidae. The record is from RefSeq and is a predicted model, not a curated record. The transcript has 3 exons.